This 245-nucleotide ribosomal RNA is filed under the name uncultured bacterium. Its description in RNAcentral is "partial 16S ribosomal RNA". It matches the Rfam family "Bacterial small subunit ribosomal RNA", at positions 524 to 768 of the family's 1533-position model. The record is from RNAcentral.
UACAGAGACCUCAAGCGUUAUCCGGAUUUAUUGGGCGUAAAGAGCUGGUAGGUGGUUAUGUUAGUCAGAUGUCAAAUCUCGGGGCUCAACUCCGAAACUGCAUUUGAAACGGCAUAACUAGAGGGUGUGAGAGAUCUAUGGAACUCAUGGUGUAGCAGUGAAAUGCGUUGAUAUCAUGAGGAACACCAAAGGCGAAGGCAUUAGAUUGGCACACUCCUGACACUGAGCAGCGAAAGCGUGGGUAG